CGUAGGUGAACCUGCGGAAGGAUCAUUAGUGAAUUGAAUAUGUUAGCGGACCUCUUCGGAGUCCCUAGCAUCAAAUCAUAUCCAUAACACCUGUGAACAGUAAGGCUGUCUUGAAAACGAAAGUGAUUAGAGCGCCUGCCCAUUUUAUACAAACAUUAAAGUAACAAACGUAGUCUUAUUAUAAUCUAAUAAAACUUUCAACAACGGAUCUCUUGGCUCUC
This 221-nucleotide unclassified non-coding RNA is filed under the name plant metagenome. RNAcentral describes it as "partial contains small subunit ribosomal RNA, internal transcribed spacer 1, and 5.8S ribosomal RNA". The record is from RNAcentral.